Molecule: transfer RNA, 68 nt
Filed under: Rhopalaea idoneta
Lineage: Eukaryota; Metazoa; Chordata; Ascidiacea; Aplousobranchia; Diazonidae
Description: transfer RNA-Leu(UUR)
Source: RNAcentral
ACUAAAAUGGCAGAGUUGGAUGCGUAAAAUCUAAGAUUUUAAUAGGUAUGGUUGUAGUACUUUUAGUA